This is a long non-coding RNA of Amblyraja radiata (thorny skate), 138 nucleotides long. RefSeq lists it as uncharacterized. The record is from RefSeq and is a predicted model, not a curated record. NCBI's taxonomy places the organism in Eukaryota, Metazoa, Chordata, Chondrichthyes, Rajiformes, Rajidae. The transcript has 6 exons.
GAGGCCCUUUUCUAAAAGUUGUUAGUGACCGUUUCACUGAACACGUGCUCAGUCCGCCGAGGCCAACGUGAACUCCCGGUUGCCAACCAUUUCAACUCCCCUUCCCAUUCCCACACUGACCUUUCGAGGGGUCUCGAC